UAGUAACGGCGAGUGAAGCGGCAACAGCUCAAAUUUGAAAUCUGGCUCUCGGGCCCGAGUUGUAAUUUGUAGAGGAUGCUUUUGAUGCGGUGCCUUCCGAGUUCCCUGGAACGGGACGCCAUAGAGGGUGAGAGCCCCGUCUGGUUGGAUACCAAAUCUCUGUAAAGCUCCUUCGACGAGUCGAGUAGUUUGGGAAUGCUGCUCUAAAUGGGAGGUAUAUGUCUUCUAAAGCUAAAUACUGGCCAGAGACCGAUAGCGCACAAGUAGAGUGAUCGAAAGAUGAAAAGCACUUUGAAAAGAGAGUUAAAAAGUACGUGAAAUUGUUGAAAGGGAAGCGUUUAUGACCAGACUUGGGCUUGGAUAAUCAUCUGGGGUUCUCCCCAGUGCACUUUUCCAGUCCAGGCCAGCAUCAGUUUUCGCCGGGGGAUAAAGGCUUCGGGAAUGUGGCUCCCUCCGGGGAGUGUUAUAGCCCGUUGCGUAAUACCCUGGCGGGGACUGAGGUUCGCGCAUCUGCAAGGAUGCUGGCGUAAUGGUCAUCAACGACCCGUCUUGAAACACGGACCAAGGAGUCGUCUUCGUAUGCGAGUGUUCGGGUGUCAAACCCCUACGCGUAAUGAAAGUGAACGCAGGUGAGAGCUUCGGCGCAUCAUCGACCGAUCCUGAUGUUCUCGGAUGGAUUUGAGUAAGAGCAUACGGGGCCGGACCCGAAAGAAGGUGAACUAUGCCUGUGUAGGGUGAAGCCAGAGGAAACUCUGGUGGAGGCUCGCAGCGGUUCUGACGUGCAAAUCGAUCGUCAAACAUGGGCAUGGGGGCGAAAGACUAAUCGA
RNAcentral lists this ribosomal RNA (827 nucleotides) under Fusarium equiseti. RNAcentral describes it as "partial large subunit ribosomal RNA". It matches the Rfam family "Eukaryotic large subunit ribosomal RNA", at positions 81 to 938 of the family's 3401-position model. Lineage: Eukaryota; Fungi; Ascomycota; Sordariomycetes; Hypocreales; Nectriaceae. The record is from RNAcentral.